GCAUUAAUGGGGUAGUGGUAACCUGGGUCGUUGCCAUGAACGUGAAGUUCGACCCGCCGGGAGUUCGAUUCUCUCUUAAUGCA
Molecule: non-coding RNA, 83 nt
Organism: Asterophora parasitica
Lineage: Eukaryota; Fungi; Basidiomycota; Agaricomycetes; Agaricales; Lyophyllaceae
Source: the annotation of a GenBank genome assembly